GCGCCCGUAGCUCAAUUGGAUAGAGCAUCUGACUACGGAUCAGAAGGUUACAAGUUCGACUCUUGUCGGGCGCA
RNAcentral lists this transfer RNA (74 nucleotides) under Omnitrophica bacterium GWA2_52_12. RNAcentral's name for it is "tRNA-Arg". It matches the Rfam family "tRNA". Rfam says of the family: Transfer RNA (tRNA) molecules are approximately 80 nucleotides in length. Their secondary structure includes four short double-helical elements and three loops (D, anti-codon, and T loops). Further hydrogen bonds mediate the characteristic L-shaped molecular structure. tRNAs have two regions of fundamental functional importance: the anti-codon, which is responsible for specific mRNA codon recognition, and the 3' end, to which the tRNAs corresponding amino acid is attached (by aminoacyl-tRNA synthetases). tRNAs cope with the degeneracy of the genetic code in two manners: having more than one tRNA (with a specific anti-codon) for a particular amino acid; and 'wobble' base-pairing, i.e. permitting non-standard base-pairing at the 3rd anti-codon position. The record is from RNAcentral. Lineage: Bacteria; Pseudomonadati; Candidatus Omnitrophota.